RNAcentral lists this RNase P RNA (384 nucleotides) under Acidobacteriota bacterium. RNAcentral's name for it is "RNase P RNA component class A". It matches the Rfam family "Bacterial RNase P class A". Rfam says of the family: Ribonuclease P (RNase P) is a ubiquitous endoribonuclease, found in archaea, bacteria and eukarya as well as chloroplasts and mitochondria. The record is from RNAcentral. Lineage: Bacteria; Pseudomonadati; Acidobacteriota.
CGGGUAAGUCGGGUAAUCGCUUUUCCUUUGGAAAAGAGGAAAGUCCGAACUUCAAAGAGCGACGAGCCGGUUAACUGCCGGGCACCCGCCUUCGGCGGAUGACGACAAGUGCAACAGAAAGCAAACCAGCCCUUCGGGGUGAUGGGUGAAACGGUGAGGUAAGAGCUCACAGGCAUGCUUGGCGACAAGCGUGACCGGGUAAACUCCUCGUGAAGCAAGACCAAAUAGGAAGACGCAAAGGGUUGCUCGCCCUGUUCCGGCUUCGGCCGGAAAGCGUUUUCGGGUAGGUCGCACGAGCCGUGCGGCAACGUACGGCCUAGAUGAAUGAUUACCGCUUCGCCGAUUGGCGGAGAACAGAAUUCGGCUUACAGACUUGCCGGGUUU